UGGUUUAAUUCGAUGCAACGCGAAGAACCUUACCAGGGUUUGACAUGCUUAAAGUAGGAACUCGAAAGAGGGACGACCUGUAUCCAGUCAGGAGUUUGCACAGGUGCUGCAUGGCUGUCGUCAGCUCGUGCCGUGAGGUGUUAGGUUAAGUCCUGCAACGAGCGCAACCCUCGUCGCUAGUUGUUUUCUCUAGCGAUACUGCCCGUAUAACGUGGAGGAAGGUGGGGAUGACGUCAAGUCAGCAUGGCCCUUACAUCCUGGGCUACACACACGCUACAAUGGGUGAUACAACAGGUUGCAAUAGAGUAAUCUGGAGCCAAUCCCUAAAAUCAUCCUCAGUACGGAUUGCAGGCUGCAACUGCCUGCAUGAAGUUGGAGUUGCUAGUAAACGCAGGUCAGCACACUGCGUUGAAUACGCUCUCGGGCCUU
Molecule: ribosomal RNA, 429 nt
Filed under: uncultured Chloroflexota bacterium
Lineage: Bacteria; Bacillati; Chloroflexota
Description: bacterial SSU rRNA
Rfam family: Bacterial small subunit ribosomal RNA
Source: RNAcentral